RNAcentral lists this long non-coding RNA (471 nucleotides) under Monodelphis domestica (gray short-tailed opossum). RNAcentral describes it as "lncRNA (ENSMODG00000047838.1)". The record is from RNAcentral. Lineage: Eukaryota; Metazoa; Chordata; Mammalia; Didelphimorphia; Didelphidae.
GAAAAAACCCAAGACAACUGACAAAAAAUACAAGAUUGACUUUCACUGAGUAAAUCUGAUCCCUUUUAAUGGAUUUGACUUUGUCUGUUUAAAGAAAGAUGGGCAGAUUGAAGAAUCCUGGGAGUGGAGCAUCAUAACUUCUUGACUCAGCAGUUCUUGCCCACAGAGAUAAAAAUGCAGCUGGUCCAUGCCAGCCAGGACAGCAGAAAAUCUCCUGGUGGGAUAUAUUAUAGGAUCAUAGAAAACCGGGGACGACAGAAUGGACCCACCAAAUGACUCCCACUUCUCCCUACCUGACAUCCAUCAACAAUUAUUAAAUGCCCACUAUAUGCCAGAAAAGGAAACUAAGGCAAACAGGGUUAAGUGAUCUGCCUAGAGUCACACAAUUACUAAAUGUCUGAGACUGAGUCCAGGGCCAGCACUCUAUCUACUGCAGCACCUAGCUGCCUAAGAAGGUAAGCCAUAUUCUUU